CUUAAUUGGGCGUUAAGUUGCAGGGUAUAGACCCGAAACCCGGUGAUCUAGCCAUGGGCAGGUUGAAGGUUGGGUAACACUAACUGGAGGACCGAACCGACUAAUGUUGAAAAAUUAGCGGAUGACCUGUGGCUGGGGGUGAAAGGCCAAUCAAACCGGGAGAUAGCUGGUUCUCCCCGAAAGCUAUUUAGGUAGCGCCUCGUGAAUUCAUCUCCGGGGGUAGAGCACUGUUUCGGCUAGGGGGCCAUCCCGGCUUACCAACCCGAUGCAAACUGCGAAUACCGGAGAAUGUUAUCACGGGAGACACACGGCGGGUGCUAACGUCCGUCGUGAAGAGGGAAACAACCCAGACCGCCAGCUAAGGUCCCAAAGUCAUGGUUAAGUGGGAAACGAUGUGGGAAGGCCCAGACAGCCAGGAUGUUGGCUUAGAAGCAGCCAUCAUUUAAAGAAAGCGUAAUAGCUCACUGGUCGAGUCGGCCUGCGCGGAAGAUGUAACGGGGCUAAACCAUGCACCGAAGCUGCGGCAGCGAACGUAUCACUUAAAGCGAUUCAGCGGGUUACGAUUGACGGAGCGAAGCGACGUCAAAGCGUAUACAAAGUCGAGUCGGUUUAAGGAUACGUUCGUUGGGUAGGGGAGCGUUCUGUAAGCCUGCGAAGGUGGCCUGUGAGGGUUGCUGGAGGUAUCAGAAGUGCGAAUGCUGACAUAAGUAACGAUAAAGCGGGUGAAAAGCCCGCUCGCCGGAAGACCAAGGGUUCCUGUCCAACGUUAAUCGGGGCAGGGUGAGUCGACCCCUAAGGCGAGGCCGAAAGGCGUAGUCGAUGGGAAACGGGUUAAUAUUCCCGUACUUGGUGUUACUGCGAAGGGGGGACGGAGAAGGCUAUGUUGGCCGGGCGACGGUUGUCCCGGUUUAAGCGUGUAGGUGUGUGUUCCAGGUAAAUCCGGUU
Molecule: ribosomal RNA, 945 nt
Filed under: Salmonella enterica subsp. enterica serovar Infantis
Lineage: Bacteria; Pseudomonadati; Pseudomonadota; Gammaproteobacteria; Enterobacterales; Enterobacteriaceae
Also listed under: 1 other name
Description: partial 23S ribosomal RNA
Rfam family: Bacterial large subunit ribosomal RNA
Source: RNAcentral